AGGGUCACGGGGUCGACGGCCCGGGUCACCAGGAGGUAGUCCCGCAUGACGAGGGCGUGGCGGCCCUC
RNAcentral lists this small RNA (68 nucleotides) under Parafrankia flexibilis. Its description in RNAcentral is "Frankia sp. EI5c ASdes TB sRNA". It matches the Rfam family "ASdes TB sRNA". Lineage: Bacteria; Bacillati; Actinomycetota; Actinomycetes; Frankiales; Frankiaceae. The record is from Rfam by way of RNAcentral.